AUCACUGACUUCAAAAGCCUUACACUGGACUUCAAGUAGCUUGGAUUCUGUGCCUUUCCAGUUUUCCUCCACAUCUUGAUUUUUACAAAUGAAUUCAAAAUGUACUUUUAUCUGAAAAGAGAACUUUGGACCACUAAGCAACAAUCCGGUUAUUUUUCUCCUUUGCCCGGGCCCGAGCCUGCGUCGUCGGCUGAGUGACUUUGAUCUGGCAAUCAGCAAGGUGGAGAAAAAGAAGAUGAGGAAAAUGACAUUUUUAACAGCCUGCUUCGAUUUGAGGGAUGCAACUUGAGGCCCUUUGUUGCCAAGUUGCAGGUCAUCUCUGCUGACGCUUUUAAUUGAUUUUACUGCCGGCAGAAAAGAGCACAAUAGGCCGACUAGCACUCUAGAGAAAUCGAAUGUAAUAUAGUGCAAAUGUCCCUUCAAGAGCUUCAAUCAGAGAUGCCUCUCCUGUAGACGAACUGUACACGAUCAAUACCGAUCUUUCCUCAAAAGGGUCUCUGUUUCCCACACAAAUACACCAAACACAAUCCCAGACACAUGCUGACAUGUGAAACUAUUUCCUAAGGGCUAAAUUAGUGCAAUCGUACAGCUUGUCACAAGCAAUGUAUGUGAAAGUUGUCGGCUCACAUCCUGUCCAAGUUUUAAUGACAAGUUCUCAAAAGCAAAUUCAUAAAAAAGGGUUUAUGUUUCAUAUAAAGAUCAUCUUCAAAUAAAUAAGGAGCCUCAAAGAGGCACAGGAAAUAUUGUUUUCAUUAUUUGUUAUUGCACUGGAGCUAAUGCCAUUUGGGCAAGAGUGCUGGCAGUUUAGCUGGUGGACAAAUACUGCACAUAUUGCACUCACGAUUACUUAUCAGGAG
Long non-coding RNA from Puntigrus tetrazona (Sumatra barb), 857 nucleotides. RefSeq lists it as uncharacterized. The transcript is spliced from 3 exons. The record is from RefSeq and is a predicted model, not a curated record. Lineage: Eukaryota; Metazoa; Chordata; Actinopteri; Cypriniformes; Cyprinidae.